GGGAUUAAAGGCGUACACCACCAUACCUGGUUUGCUUUUUGAAACUGGGUCUUAGAGUGUGACUCA
RNAcentral lists this small RNA (66 nucleotides) under Mus musculus (house mouse). Lineage: Eukaryota; Metazoa; Chordata; Mammalia; Rodentia; Muridae. The record is from RNAcentral.